This 476-nucleotide ribosomal RNA is filed under the name Salmonella enterica subsp. enterica serovar Infantis. RNAcentral describes it as "bacterial SSU rRNA". It matches the Rfam family "Bacterial small subunit ribosomal RNA", at positions 1 to 473 of the family's 1533-position model. Lineage: Bacteria; Pseudomonadati; Pseudomonadota; Gammaproteobacteria; Enterobacterales; Enterobacteriaceae. RNAcentral also lists the same sequence under 6 other names. The record is from RNAcentral.
AAAUUGAAGAGUUUGAUCAUGGCUCAGAUUGAACGCUGGCGGCAGGCCUAACACAUGCAAGUCGAACGGUAACAGGAAGCAGCUUGCUGCUUCGCUGACGAGUGGCGGACGGGUGAGUAAUGUCUGGGAAACUGCCUGAUGGAGGGGGAUAACUACUGGAAACGGUAGCUAAUACCGCAUAACGUCGCAGGACCAAAGAGGGGGACCUUCGGGCCUCUUGCCAUCAGAUGUGCCCAGAUGGGAUUAGCUUGUUGGUGAGGUAACGGCUCACCAAGGCGACGAUCCCUAGCUGGUCUGAGAGGAUGACCAGCCACACUGGAACUGAGACACGGUCCAGACUCCUACGGGAGGCAGCAGUGGGGAAUAUUGCACAAUGGGCGCAAGCCUGAUGCAGCCAUGCCGCGUGUAUGAAGAAGGCCUUCGGGUUGUAAAGUACUUUCAGCGGGGAGGAAGGUGUUGUGGUUAAUAACCACAGC